GGUUUAAAGGGUCCGUAGGCGGNCCAAUAAGUCAGUGGUGAAAUCCUAUCGCUUAACGAUAGAACUGCCAUUGAAACUGUUGGUCUUGAAUUAUUUUGAAGUUGGCGGAAUGAGUAGUGUAGCGGUGAAAUGCAUAGAUAUUACUCAGAACACNUAUUGCGAAGGCAGCUGACUAAGAAUAUAUUGACGCUGAUGGACGAAAGCGUAGGUAGCGAACAGGAUUAGAUACCCUGGUAGUCUACGCAGUAAACGAUGGAUACUCGUUGUCGGGAAAAUUGAGACUCGGUGGCUAAGCGAAAGUGAUAAGUAUCCCACCUGGGGAGUACGAUCGCAAGAUUGAAACUCAAAGGAAUUGACGGGGGCCCGCACAAGCGGUGGAGCAUGUGGUUUAAUUCGAUGAUACGCGAGGAACCUUACCUGGGCUUAAAUGUAUUUUGAUCGUACUAGAAAUAGUAUUUCUCGCAAGAGCAAUUUACAAGGUGCUGCAUGGUUGUCGUCAGCUCGUGCCGUGAGGUGUCAGGUUAAGUCCUAUAACGAGCGCAACCCCUAUCGUUAGUUGCUAGCAGGUCAUGCUGAGGACUCUAACGAGACUGCCGGUGCAAACCGUGAGGAAGGUGGGGAUGACGUCAAAUCAUCACGGCCCUUACGUCCAGGGCCACACACGUGCUACAAUGGUGCAUACAGAGAGCAGCCAACUGGUGACAGUGAGCGAAUCUUCAAAGUGCAUCACAGUUCGGAUUGUAGUCUGCAACUCGACUACAUGAAGCUGGAAUCGCUAGUAAUCGCAGAUCAGCCAUGCUGCGGUGAAUACGUUCCCGGGCCUUGUACACACCGCCCGUCAAGCCAUGGAAGCUGGGGGUACCUGAAGUACGUAACCGUAAGGAGCGUCCUAGGGUAAAACUGGUAACUGGGGCU
Molecule: ribosomal RNA, 915 nt
Filed under: uncultured bacterium
Lineage: Bacteria
Description: bacterial SSU rRNA
Rfam family: Bacterial small subunit ribosomal RNA
Source: RNAcentral